AUGGCGAGCGUGACAAGUUUCAGAAUGAGAUUUGUGCUGAACUGCUGCUGGGACUGAGCACGUAUAGGAAGACUACAACCCGAGCCAGAAGCUUUCUGCAGCGGAUCCUUGACCUGAGUGAGUUGAGGAGCCAGUAACUGAUCAUUUGUGACAACAGCCUGGAGGGAGGUCUGCGAGUCCUGAUGACCACCGUGCUCCCGACUCGUGUAGCAUCGGUCUUCGCGCCUCACUGGUUUUAAAAAACAAGGCAAUAAAAUCACCACUUGAA
Poecilia latipinna (sailfin molly) is the source of this 268-nucleotide long non-coding RNA. RefSeq lists it as uncharacterized. NCBI's taxonomy places the organism in Eukaryota, Metazoa, Chordata, Actinopteri, Cyprinodontiformes, Poeciliidae. The transcript is spliced from 2 exons. The record is from RefSeq and is a predicted model, not a curated record.